ACCAUAGUAGGGGCAAGACCAAAAUCGUCUUCCGGGAUUCGACUUCGACCAAGAAGUCUGCAUAUGCAACAAACUUCCAUGUUUGCAUCGUACUAUGGUUUUGAGCAUUGGGUCUGAUUCUUCCAUGCAUAGCUUAUUCAAUUUUGCGUUUGACAUUACUAACCCUAAUAACACAAAGUGAAAAAACAAAAUCAAGCUGUCGAAUUGGGGAAGAUUUUGAUUGUUCAAUAUGAAAUUCGAGAAAAUUGCAAACCCUAAAUUCAAUCUUAGUUGGAGAAGAUACAACAACUAAAUUCAAGCUUUGAAAAUGGUGGAUGAAGAACAAAGAAGAGAGAGAGCUUUUGUUCAAGAACAAAAGAGAUGGAGAUAAAUGAGUUGAGAAAAGAAUGAAAAAUAAAUGUAUGGGUUAAAUAAAGAGUAAAGUUACCGUUGGGAGGAUUAUUUGGACUCCACAUGGACAUUUUAUUACGUUGUU
This 475-nucleotide long non-coding RNA is filed under the name Solanum tuberosum (potato). RNAcentral's name for it is "long non-coding RNA (STUB_LNC005944)". Lineage: Eukaryota; Viridiplantae; Streptophyta; Magnoliopsida; Solanales; Solanaceae. The record is from RNAcentral.